UACGUAGGGGGCUAGCGUUGUCCGGAAUCAUUGGGCGUAAAGCGCGCGUAGGCGGCCCGGUAAGUCCGCUGUGAAAGUCCAGGGCUCAACCCUGGAAAGCCGGUGGAUACUGCCGGGCUAGAGUCCGGGAGAGGCGAGUGGAAUUCCUGGUGUAGCGGUGGAAUGCGCAGAUAUCAGGAGGAACACCUAAGGCGAAGGCAGCUCGCUGGAACGGUACUGACGCUGAGGUGCGAAAGCGUGGGGAGCAAACAGG
RNAcentral lists this ribosomal RNA (253 nucleotides) under uncultured bacterium. Its description in RNAcentral is "partial 16S ribosomal RNA". It matches the Rfam family "Bacterial small subunit ribosomal RNA", at positions 524 to 776 of the family's 1533-position model. The record is from RNAcentral.